This 94-nucleotide transfer RNA is filed under the name Nitratidesulfovibrio vulgaris str. 'Miyazaki F'. RNAcentral describes it as "tRNA-Ser (CGA) (tRNA-Ser-CGA-1-1)". It matches the Rfam family "tRNA". From Rfam's summary of the family: Transfer RNA (tRNA) molecules are approximately 80 nucleotides in length. Their secondary structure includes four short double-helical elements and three loops (D, anti-codon, and T loops). The record is from RNAcentral. Lineage: Bacteria; Pseudomonadati; Thermodesulfobacteriota; Desulfovibrionia; Desulfovibrionales; Desulfovibrionaceae. RNAcentral also lists the same sequence under 10 other names.
GGAGAGGUAGCGAAGUGGCCGUAACGCGCUCGACUCGAAAUCGAGUUAUCGGUUAGUAGCCGGUACGUGGGUUCGAAUCCCACCCUCUCCGCCA